UACACUCCUACGGGAGGCAGCAGUGGGGAAUUUUGGACAAUGGGCGCAAGCCUGAUCCAGCCAUGCCGCGUGCGGGAAGAAGGCCUUCGGGUUGUAAACCGCUUUUGUCAGGGAAGAAAAGGUUCUGGCUAAUACCUGGGACUCAUGACGGUACCUGAAGAAUAAGCACCGGCUAACUACGUGCCAGCAGCCGCGGUAAUACGUAGGGUGCAAGCGUUAAUCGGAAUUUCUGGGCGUAAAGCGUGCGCAGGCGGUUAUGCAAGACAGAGGUGAAAUCCCCGGGCUCAACCUGGGAACUGCCUUUGUGACUGCAUGGCUAGAGUACGGUAGAGGGGGAUGGAAUUCCGCGUGUAGCAGUGAAAUGCGUAGAUAUGCGGAGGAACACCGAUGGCGAAGGCAAUCCCCUGGACCUGUACUGACGCUCAUGCACGAAAGCGUGGGGAGCAAACAGGAUUAGAUACCCGUGUAGUCCCAU
This 475-nucleotide ribosomal RNA is filed under the name uncultured organism. RNAcentral's name for it is "partial 16S ribosomal RNA". It matches the Rfam family "Bacterial small subunit ribosomal RNA", at positions 332 to 798 of the family's 1533-position model. The record is from RNAcentral.